CGUGUAGGCGGCCUAAUAAGUUAGAAGUGAAACCUAUCGGCUCAACUGAUAGCCUGCUUCUAAACUGCUAAGCUUGAGUGCAGAAGAGGGGAGUGGAAUUCCCAGGUGUAGCGGUGAAAUGCGUAGAUAUUGGGAGGAACACCAGUGGCGAAAGCGGCUCCCUGGUCUGUAACUGACGCUGAGGCGCGAAAGCGUGGGUAGCAAACA
Molecule: ribosomal RNA, 207 nt
Filed under: uncultured Peptococcaceae bacterium
Lineage: Bacteria; Bacillati; Bacillota; Clostridia; Eubacteriales; Peptococcaceae
Description: partial 16S ribosomal RNA
Rfam family: Bacterial small subunit ribosomal RNA
Source: RNAcentral